Molecule: ribosomal RNA, 161 nt
Filed under: Aurinia saxatilis (basket-of-gold)
Lineage: Eukaryota; Viridiplantae; Streptophyta; Magnoliopsida; Brassicales; Brassicaceae
Description: 5.8S ribosomal RNA
Rfam family: 5.8S ribosomal RNA
About the family: 5.8S ribosomal RNA (5.8S rRNA) is a component of the large subunit of the eukaryotic ribosome. It is transcribed by RNA polymerase I as part of the 45S precursor that also contains 18S and 28S rRNA.
Source: RNAcentral
AAACGACUCUCGGCAACGGAUAUCUCGGCUCUCGCAUCGAUGAAGAACGUAGCGAAAUGCGAUACUUGGUGUGAAUUGCAAAAUCCCGUGAACCAUCGAGUCUUUGAACGCAAGUUGCGCCCCAAGCCUUCUGGCCGAGGGCACGUCUGCCUGGGUGUCAC